Hordeum vulgare subsp. vulgare (domesticated barley) is the source of this 1529-nucleotide long non-coding RNA. RefSeq lists it as uncharacterized. The record is from RefSeq and is a predicted model, not a curated record. Lineage: Eukaryota; Viridiplantae; Streptophyta; Magnoliopsida; Poales; Poaceae. The transcript is spliced from 2 exons.
GUCGCGUGCAACUGGCGACUUUUCUCGUUUUUUCAUUGCUAUUUAUCUGAUUACAGAUCGAAGGAAAAGGGCAGGAUCGUGCCUCCUAUGCCACCUGCGAGACUACCGGGCACGGCGUGGUGACCACGUCCGAUCCGCCCCUGCUAGCUAUCUUCACGGCGCGCACAAGUCACGGCUCGUGACCGUUAUUUCAUGUGCAGAAGCAAAACUAUCCUACCUAAGCCAACGGCUAGAUUAGCUAACAGGCGACAUGGCCGUGUCGAGGAGCUCUUGGCUCCGGCAAGCAUCUAACUAGGGGGCGCUUGGAGCAACACGUUAGGGGAAAUGGAGCAGCAGCUCACCCCGGUUCUAGCAGAGGCAACGACAUGCUCGGGGAGGCUCAGGAUGGAGCAAAUCGUCGACGGCAUCCUGCGGUCACCGGCAACGAGGAGGAGCUCGAUGCCUUUGAUCCUGGGCAUCCCGGCUCGAUUCCUCUCGCAUCGAGAUGGGGAGGAGCAUGGAGGAGCCAGGGGACACGUCAGUGGGCCUCGGCGAAGCUAGAGGCCACGGUGACAGCAGUCGGCAGCGAUGAUGGCGCUCGGCCAUGGUCGGGUGAUGCGAGAGAGAGGGAAGGGGGAGGAAUGGAUGGGGUCAGCGAGACGUGGACGGCUCUGUGGGGUUUAUCCCUAGUGUCGACGUGGCUCGGGGCAAGCACGAGGUGGCCGGGAGCGGCUGCUCGCUCUACAGCGGCCUUUGUGCUCUUGCAACAGGAGGAAGACGAUAGGAGCUGUGUGCGCUCGGCUAGGUAGGUGGGCCGAAGAGCAGUCUAUCUGGCAUCUAAUUCAGUUCAACAUCGUCGCACGAAGCACAUUGAGAUCGACAUCCACUUUGUUCGUGAGAAGGUGUCUCUUGGCGAGGUUCGAGUUCUACAUGUUUCAACAAAUGCGUAAUUUGCUGAUAUCUUCACCAAAGGACUUCCCAAUGCAUCCUUCACCAACAUAUGCAUAUUAGAGUAUAUUCGGUCGUUUUAGUUUUGGUAGUUUGAAUUCUAAUCUAUCUCUUCUAUACUUGGACUCCAAGACUUUGUACUUCUAUAAGCAGCCCACUAAGGCAUCAAUUAAUACACAAUUAUUAUAAAAUAUCAUAUCCUUCUUUGAUCCGGGACAUUCAAGAUUUGUUUUUCAUGGCAAAUCAUGUAUGCAAAGCUUUUAUAUUUGCAAUUCUUCAUAACUAUGACGUGUAUUGUGACUGAGUUAGAGAAAUGACAAGUUUUGUUUGGUCCAAUGAUGUGCUAGAUGAUGCAAUUAUAAGAUAAGGAGCUGGUGCUACUCGUGCUUAUGAUGAGCUAAUAUGAUGUGCUAGAUGAUGCAAUUAGAAGAUAAGGAACUGCCAGGGGUGAUGAUGAGCUAAUACGUUCACAGAUGAAGAUCAGAUGAAAAAUGUUAUUGAUACUCUUCAAGAAUGAGAAACUGGUAUGUUUUAUUGGCUAUUAAUUAUGCAUUUGUUAAUGCAUUUUUAACUGAUGACCCCUCUUAUAGAGUUAGCUUGAA